Molecule: transfer RNA, 77 nt
Filed under: Novosphingobium pokkalii
Lineage: Bacteria; Pseudomonadati; Pseudomonadota; Alphaproteobacteria; Sphingomonadales; Sphingomonadaceae
Description: tRNA-Arg
Rfam family: tRNA
About the family: Transfer RNA (tRNA) molecules are approximately 80 nucleotides in length. Their secondary structure includes four short double-helical elements and three loops (D, anti-codon, and T loops). Further hydrogen bonds mediate the characteristic L-shaped molecular structure. tRNAs have two regions of fundamental functional importance: the anti-codon, which is responsible for specific mRNA codon recognition, and the 3' end, to which the tRNAs corresponding amino acid is attached (by aminoacyl-tRNA synthetases). tRNAs cope with the degeneracy of the genetic code in two manners: having more than one tRNA (with a specific anti-codon) for a particular amino acid; and 'wobble' base-pairing, i.e. permitting non-standard base-pairing at the 3rd anti-codon position.
Source: RNAcentral
GCGCUCUUAGCUCAGCUGGAUAGAGCAUCGGCCUUCUAAGCCGGUGGUCGCAGGUUCGAAUCCUGCAGGGCGCGCCA